GGGGAAUAUUGGGCAAUGGGGGAAACCCUGACCCAGCAACGCCGCGUGAAGGAAGAAGGCUUUCGGGUUGUAAACUUCUUUUAGCAGGGACGAAGGACGUGACGGUACCUGCAGAAAAAGCAACGGCUAACUACGUGCCAGCAGCCGCGGUAAUACGGAGGAUGCGAGCGUUAUCCGGAUUUAUUGGGUUUAAAGGGUGCGCAGGCGGAGGCGCAAGUCAGCGGUAAAAUCGCGGGGCUCAACCCCGCUCCGCCGUUGAAACUGUGUCCCUUGAGUGCGCGAAGGGCAGGCGGAAUGCGUGGUGUAGCGGUGAAAUGCAUAGAUAUCACGCAGAACUCCGAUCGCGAAGGCAGCCUGCCGGCGCGCAACUGACGCUCAUGCACGAAAGCGUGGGUAUCGAACAGG
RNAcentral lists this ribosomal RNA (405 nucleotides) under uncultured bacterium. RNAcentral's name for it is "bacterial SSU rRNA". It matches the Rfam family "Bacterial small subunit ribosomal RNA", at positions 356 to 776 of the family's 1533-position model. The record is from RNAcentral.